Molecule: ribosomal RNA, 311 nt
Filed under: Craterostigmus tasmanianus
Lineage: Eukaryota; Metazoa; Arthropoda; Chilopoda; Craterostigmomorpha; Craterostigmidae
Description: eukaryotic LSU rRNA
Rfam family: Eukaryotic large subunit ribosomal RNA
Source: RNAcentral
GACCAAGGAGUCUAACAUGUGCGCGAGUCGUAGGGUUACGCUCAAAGCCCGAAGGCGCAAUGAAAGUGAAGGUCGGCCUCGAUUGCCGUUACCUAGGCGGGAUCCGUUCGGGCUUACCGGUCGUUCGCGGCUGAGCCCGGCGGCGCACCGCCGGCCCGUCUCGACCGCAUCGCCGGUGAGGCGGAGCGAGAGCGUACACGUUGGGACCCGAAAGAUGGUGAACUAUGCCCGGGCAGGACGAAGCCAGAGGAAACUCUGGUGGAGGUCCGUAGCGAUUCUGACGUGCAAAUCGAUCGUCGGACCUGGUAUUA